RNAcentral lists this ribosomal RNA (435 nucleotides) under uncultured Parcubacteria group bacterium. RNAcentral describes it as "bacterial SSU rRNA". It matches the Rfam family "Bacterial small subunit ribosomal RNA", at positions 346 to 795 of the family's 1533-position model. The record is from RNAcentral.
GGGCUGCAGUCGAGAAUCUUCCUCAAUGGCCGAAAGGCUGAAGGAGCGACGCCGCGUGUAGGAAGACGCCCUUUGGGGUGUAAACUACUUUUCUAAAGGAAAAAUUUUUGAUUGUACUUUAGGAAUAAGCCACUGCUAACUUCGUGCCAGCAGCAGCGGUAAUACGAAGGUGGCAAGCGUUAUCCGGAUUUAUUGGGCGUAAAGAGUUCAACGGUGGCUAUGAUAGUCGAAAAUAAAAUCUUAAGGCUCAACCUUAAGCCCGUUUUCGAUACUUUAUAGCUAGAGGGUAGGAGAGGCAAACGGAAUUGCUGGUGUAGUAGUAAAAUGCGUUAAUAUCAGCAAGAACACCAAAGGCGAAGGCAGUUUGCUAGAAUACUCCUGACACUAUACGAACGAAAGCGUGGGUAGCGAAUGGGAUUAGAUACCCGUGUAGUC